This 393-nucleotide ribosomal RNA is filed under the name uncultured bacterium. RNAcentral describes it as "bacterial SSU rRNA". It matches the Rfam family "Bacterial small subunit ribosomal RNA", at positions 28 to 409 of the family's 1533-position model. The record is from RNAcentral.
GAUGAACGCUGGCGGCGUGUCUAAGGCAUGCAAGUCGAACGGACUGUUAUUUGUAGCAAUACUUAGAACAGUUAGUGGCAAACGGGUGCGUAACACAUUGGUAACCUGCCUCAAAGUCGGGCAUAAUCCCGCGAAAGUGGGACUAAUUCCACGAUAGUCAUCGAAGGUGAGAUUCCUUCGAUGUAAAGUCGCAAGACGCUUUGAGAGGGGCCUAUGGCCUAUCAGCUUGUUGGUGAGGUAACGGCUCGCCAAGGCUAUGACGGGUAGGGGGUGUGAGAGCACGACCCCCCUCACUGGGACGUGAGACACUGCCCAGACACCUACGGGUGGGCUGCAGUCGAGAAUAUUCCCCAACUGGCCGAAAGGCUGAGGGAGCGACGCCGCGUGCAGGAA